RNAcentral lists this long non-coding RNA (42791 nucleotides) under Manihot esculenta (cassava). RNAcentral's name for it is "long non-coding RNA (MESC_LNC010158)". Lineage: Eukaryota; Viridiplantae; Streptophyta; Magnoliopsida; Malpighiales; Euphorbiaceae. The record is from RNAcentral.
CUGGAAGUUCUCUUUUCCCUCCCUCAACGUUUCUAACCUCCAAGAAUAGUUAAGCAAAUGAGGCAUACGCACAAGUGUGGUAAUCAUUUUGAUACUUGAUGGAGAGUUCAAUGUGACAGGACUAUACAUACAGAGAAAUAUGAAGAAGUGAAUAGCAAUGAGAUUUAUGAAGGGUAAACAAUGAUAAUUGAACCAUGGCUAAUAUGUGAAUGUCGAUAGCAGGAAAAAAGUACAAAUAAAUUCAACAUUGAUUUUUGGUCCAUAAAAAGGCCUAGAUGCCUUUGGAAUGCUCAAUCCCGAGGUCACUUCCUCUAUCGUAUAACCUCCCACCUCCAAUGCAAGCAAUGCAAAAUAAAGAAACCCUCUGACUUCAUCUUGAUGGACAAAUUAAACCCUUUUCUUAUCAAGGACAAGUUAAUUCUGCUAAUUCAUGUUAGACUAGCAUGCUUUUCUUAUAUAAGAGAACAUUAUUUCUACCAAGCAUCAACUAUCCACAAAAGAUAUUUUAUGUGCUUAUAAAACCAGUAUCAACCCAUCUACUACUGAUGAAAAAUGAUGACAAAAAUAAAGUCAUAAUGAUACCUGGUUUAAAAUCUUCAUAGAUCUUUAUACUUGUUAUGAAAUGCCAUAGCAAAAAGACAGAUUUGUUACAUCCUAAUUUCACAUUUUCUGAGAAGCUUUAAAGUUUCCUAUAUCCUAUUUUGUUUUAUGAUGUGUUUACAUUAGAUUUUUCAAUUUGCAUUUUAGGUUUUAGAUGGUAUAAUACGCAUCUUAUGUACUAAAUUUUUUAAUCAUUUGCAAUUAAUAGAACACAUAUGAUUAUCAAAAAACAAAAUGUAGAUUAUCAUUUGAUAAAAAUAUAAUUUAUAAUUAUUAAUUAUAAUAAUUGUACAACUCGUUAAAUUUGGGCCAGGCCUAACUCACCCCAAAAGCUAGCUCAAGGGGAGGAGUGCCUAUAGCCCAUAUAAGGGGCACAUUACCCUUUUUCACAACCGAUGUGGGAUUCAACACAACCCCUCACGCUCAGAAUUUUUACUGGUGCGUGGCACAUUUAUGGGGCGCCCAACAUCGGAUGGAGAGACUCUGAUACCAUGUUAAAUUUGGGCCAGGCCUAAAUCACCCAAAACCUAGCUCAUAUAAGGAGCACAUUACCCCUUUCCACAACCGAUGUGGGAUUCAACAUUAUCCCAAAAGAUAGUUCAAGGGGUAGGAGUGCCUAUAGCCCAUAUAAGGGGCACAUUACCCCUUUCCACAACCGAUGUGGGAUUCAACACAACUAUUAAAAUUUAGGCCCCCUUUGCAUUUUAUCUUGUGUUCGCCUAUUGAUAAUCCUAAUAAAAUUCAUAAAAAAAAUGAGAGCGAAAACAAGAUGUCUAAAGUCUAAACCAUUAAUAGUGGCAUCAAUUUUCACUGUCAAAACAUAGGAAUUACUUUCUUAUACAUAAAAAGGACAUCAAAUCACGGGUAGUGAAUAGUGAAAGCCAACACCAAUAUCAACUAGGAGUUGAGGGCUCUAUGUCGUAUUAGGCUUAACAAAUCCUACUCCCAUAAGGAAAGUUCACCAGAGGAAAAGAAAGCUUGCAAAAGAGCCCCAAGGUAUGAAGCAAACAAUACCAUGAGGAUGGACCAAGACCAAGUGAAUAAUUAACUGUGAAAGUGUUUCAAAUUUCAAAUUGCAGAAAAGAAAUUUGAAUAUUAAAAUAAUAAGGCAUCCAAAAGGUUAAAGAGAACAUAAGAAUAAAAUAAAACUAAAAAUGACAAUAUAUUGCAUUUUUCAUUCUCAAGGUUAGUAUGGAGAACAAAAUAAAAUUUUAUUUACUAGGAACAAGAAUCUGAAAAAUAAAACUCUCUUAAAUGUGAAACAACAAAAGCAAUUGACAUUUGCAUGACAAAAUUGAACCAAUGGUAUUUUGCCCCCGAAUAAUAAUAAUGACAAUGGCGGACCAAUGUUAACUGACAUGUGUGUGUGUGUGGGUGUGUGUGUGUGAGGGGAGAGAGAGAAAGAGAGAGAGGGGCAAAAACUCAUCUUGAUAUUUAAGAAAAGUGAUAUAGAUUUUAGACAUAUAUCACACGAAAGAAAAUAGAUACAAAUUAAGUAGAGACUAGAGAGAGAGAUUCAAAAAGGUGGUGCAACAAAAACUUAAACAUGUCAUUCAUGAUUUCAAGCAAAGAAUAACUAGUGAAGAACAAUUUAUAUUAAAAACUUGAAAAUGAAUAACUGAAGCAUUACCUGUAUAGUGGCCAGAGAUGCAUCUCUGGCUACCCCCACAUGUAAACUCAACUCAACAAGAUUGAUAAGAACAGAAACUUUCAUGGAAAUCCAUACUUUCCCGUUCUGGGCCUCCAAUUCACCAAUAUUGUCCUGAGAAACAACAGGUUCUACAGCAUCAGCAGAAAAUGCCCCAGAAUCAAGCUCAAGAGGAGGCAGAAGAUGAGGAGUCUCAGACAUAUUAGACAGCGCACAUUCAGUAAUAAUCUGGUACUCCCUAUUAGAUAGAACCGCUUUUAAAUCUUCUAUCUGAUGAAGUACAAUGUUAGAUACAAGUAAGCACUUUUGUCUUUCCAUAAAUUGCAAAUAAUUGUGAAAAAACAGAAAAUAGUCCGAAGGGAUAAAGAAAGUAUGAAAGGAGACAUGGCAUGAAAUUUGAAAUACAACACCUUGAUUGUUGCUUCUACAAUUGGUAUUUGAUGCAACAAGUCUCUAAGUGACCUUCGAAUGCCAAUGGAAACCCCCUUGACAUCUUGAAUUAUGCUUUCACCUAAUUCUGUCCCAAUACCGACAUUUAAAUUGAUGUCCUCAACCUAUAACUCAAAGAAGGAAAAAACAAAAUAAACAACAACAACAACAACUAAGCCUUAAUUCCAAAUUAAUUGGGUCUAUAAGUCUAUAGGAUAAAAUGCCAAACAGUGAUGGUGAGCGUUAAGUGUAUGAAAUCAGAACAAACAAUAAAUCUCUUCCUUGGAUCCACCAAUAAACAAGGCUGGAUAGCAAAUUUCAAUUUUACUAUGAUGAAAUAAAUAAAUUUGAGAGCAUAUUUGUGUAAUUCUCACUGAUAAGAUUUUUGUUACAUGUCUGCUAUUUAUAUACUAUUAUAGAAAGUCAACCUUGUAGACACUUUUACCUAUUUUAGAGAUCAUAUUCCUGUUGGAAAACUCACUCGGUCCUUAAACUAUUGUCUUUUGUUAGAAAACUCACGCGGUCCAUAUGCUAUUCUGUCUUGUCUUUUUUUUUCUCUAGCUAUUGUUUGUUUCAGAUCUUCCAACAAAGCAGUUUAUCAAUAGAGAAUGAGAGUCUGGUGACCUCUACAUCGUUGUUAGACAAGCACCUCAAUAUCUUACUUGCUGCUUUGCUUUAACUCCUCUUGACAUCCACUACAGAUUGGGUCAUCCCGCCUUGCCUACUUUGAAUAAAUUGUAUCCUCAGUAUUAAUCUCUGUCUAUCCUAAAAUAUGUUGUGUAUCAAUUUGCCAAGCAUCACCGUUUACCUUCUUUGCUUAGAGUUAAUAAGCGAGCUUUAUCCCCCUUUUGAGUUAGUUCACUCUGAUAUAUGGGUGAUAGAGCAUAAUUUAAUCCAUUUUAUAUUAAUAUUAUUGAUGAAUAUUUAUAUGAUUUCUGCUUAAUUUAGUGCUUUUAAUAUUAUUUUGCAGAAAAUAGUGUAAAAUGACAAUUUGGAGAAAAUCCCCUUAAAACUGCCUUAUUUGGAGCCAAGAAAUAAUUGGGCAGCUAAGGACACUUGAUCCAUGGACCCACACUUGGGCCCGCACAUGGACAGCCCAUGGGCCAAGCGCAUGGCCACCACUUCACUAUUUCCGCACGACCUUGCACUCGCGGCCCAUUUCAGCACGUUCACUCACACAAUGGACCAAUCUUCACAUGGCCCGCCACUCACGCACCGUCCACCACGCACAUGGGAUCCGCACGAAGCCACUGCACCACAAUCAAUUCACGCGGGCCAAAGCUCUCUGCACGUGGACCGCUUCAUCCACUCACGCACAUUCAGACACGCGGAAAGCCCACUUCACACGGACCCGCGCAUUCCUUCACGAUGGCCCAUUUCCACCUUGCACUCACGCAUAUGGACCCGCACAAUCAAUUCACACAGCACGUGGACCAAGCCUCCGCAGACCCGCUUAUGGCCCGCUCUUUCUUUGCACAUGGGCCCGCACACUCAACUCACACACACGGGCAGCAACGCUCACAGCCAAGGGACACACGCGUGCGCGGACAGAAAUUUCCUAAUUAGGGGCACUCCUCUACACCUAUUUAAAGGCUCUUCAGUGAACGAUUACAUAGAAUUCAAUACUCGGCAAUUCCGCAAGUUCGGCGCAGCUCUCUUCGGUUCUUCUUUCUUUCUUUUUCUUUUAUUUUUUUAUUUUUAAUUCAGCCAAUGAGUGGCUGAUUUUUUUCAUCUAGUUGAAUAUUGGUUGAAACUUUAGUUGUUUAAUGGGUUGUGAGACUUAAUCAAAUAUUGUUUAAUUUUGGGAAUUCAAUAUUCAUGCAAUUUCAUAUUUAAUUCUCAUAUUAUUUUGUUAUUGAAAUCUACGUUGAUUUUUUAUUGCAAAAUAAUUAUUUGUUAGUUUGAAUAAUUUAAGUCCGUAAUUACUUGGGUUAUUCUUACAUGAGAACACUUGGGAUAAAACCCAAGGAAAUUGUUUGAUCUAGCGUUAUCUCCAUACGUUUGGGUAACUAGGAUUGGAUCUCUCUAUUUCUUAAUGCAAUUGACAAUUGUUUUGAUGCCUAAGGCCCAAGGACGUUCCUUGGCAAUUUGUUAAUUAGUAAUUAAUUAGAGGACGUUCCCUAAUUGGUUUAAUCAUAAGGAGAGAUAAUGGUGGUGAGAAGCGUCUUCCAUCCCCAUAACUAAUCUAUUGAAUCAACCCAAAAGAACAAAGUGUCUGUGAUCAAUCCCAAUGAUUAAAGUGGAUCCAAUACUUCAACUAGAGCUUUCUUAUUAUUUAUUUCUCUUUUAUUUUAUUAUUCGCUUAUUUUAAUUGUUUUUAGUAGUUUAUUAAUCAAAUCAAUCUCAAACCCCCCCAUUUUACUUUUACUGCAAUUUAUUUUUAUUCCGCUUUCAGUUUAUCUCAUUUUUGGUUUAUCUCAUUGUUUCAGUUUAUUUUAUUGGUCUUGUUGAGAAAAAUAAAUAGGUAAUCAAUUCUCUGUGGAUUCGAUCCUUCACCACUAUCUGCAGUUGUAAAUUGUUGAUAACCAAGAAGGUUAUUUUUGACCGGCUUCGACAACCGCGAGUCAAUGGGCCCCCAUUUUGUUAGUUCUAAAGCUGGGUUUAGAUAUUUGUCACUUUUAUGGACCAUUAUUCGUGUUAGGUUUAGAAUAAUAAAAAAUAGAGAAAAAUAAAACCUUUGAUGAAAAGAAGAAAAAGAAGGCAGAAGAUUUGAGAGAAAAUACAUGAUUAUUCCCUUCAAGCCAAUUGGGGUAUAUAUACUACUUACAAGAGUACAUAUAAUAAAUUAAUUCCCUAAUUAUAGUCUAAUCAUAUUUCAAUCAUAUCACACAAUCAUAUCCCUAAUUAUCACUACAAAUCUAGACUAUUUAUAAAAAUAAUCUCAACAAGGAAAAUAACACAAUAUGAUUUACGUGGUUCGGCCGUUCAACUAUGAGAGCCUACGUCCACGGACACAACCUCAAAGGGCUACAUCUUUACUGACUUACAUUUUGUCUCCCUAUAAUACAAAGGCUUCCCUAUUUAUAACGGAGGCUUCCUUGUUCUGCUUCAGCACUUGACCGAGCAACAACACUUUGUUUUUUAUUCCUCCAGGUGAUAAAGUUCCCUCCCAUAACUAUACAGUAGCCAGAGGUGGAUCUCCUAUCAUCGAGAGAUCCAGACCAACCUGCAUCUGUAAAAGCUUCAAAUUGGAGGUGACUAUAUUUAGAGUAAAGCAGCCCUUUCCUUAUGCAAGCUUUAGGUAUCUCAAGAUGUGAAGGACAACCUGCAUAUGAAUCUCGCCGGAGGUCAUGAAUGAUAUUGCUGACUAAGCAACAACAUAGGCUAUAUUUGGUUGAGUGUAUGAGAUAAAUCAACAUUCCUACCAAUUAUUGGUAUUUUCCAAUAUCCACAGACUCACUAGUUCCUGUUUGCAUCUUGUGAUUACUUUCAAUGAAAAAUUCUGUUGGUUUACACCCAAUAUACAUCUAGAAUGUACUUUUUUUUGAGAUAUAAAGAUUCCUUUUUCUGAUCUAGCCACCUCAAUACCUAGAAAAGAUUGAAUUUUUUCUAGAUCUUUGAUUUCAAAUUCUUGAGCCAACAAUCUUUUUAAUUGAGCCAUUUUCUCUUUAUCAUCACCUAUCACCACUAUAUUAUCAACAUACACAAUAAGAAAGUGAUCUUACAACAUACACAAUAAGAAAGUGAUCUUACCUUUAUGAUUUUGAAUAAAUAGAGUGUGAUCAGCAUUGCUCUAUCAGUAAUCAAAGAACAUCAUGGAUCUGCUAAACCUAUCAAACAACUCAAACCAAGCUCUAGGAGAUUGUUCUAGCCUAUACAAAGCCUUUUUUAACCCGCACAUCUUUUCUUGUAUUUUCUCAUUAGUGAACCUAGAAAGGAUCUCCAUGAACACUUCUUUUUCUAAAUCUCCAUAGAGAAAUACAUUCUUCACAUCAAACUGCUGAAAGUCCCAGUCCAAGUUGACUGUACAAGAUAAUAGGACUCUGAUUGAGUUCAUUUUUGCAACUGACGCAAAUGCCUCUUUAUAAUCUACUCCAUAGAUUUGAGUGAAUCCUUUAGCAACCAAUCUGGCCUUAAAUUGUUUAAUUGAGCCAUUAGCUUUGUGAAUACCCACUUACAGCCAACAAGUUUAUUCGCUAGUGGGAGAGUGACAAGCUCUCAUGUCUCAUUUUUGGCCGGUGCUUUAUCUCUUCAAUAUUGCUCCCUUCUAUUUAGGAUCUACAAGAACUUCCUUCUAAUCCUACGAAUAAACACAGAGAAAAUAGAUAAGGCAAAGGCUCUAUAAGAGGGGACAAUACCUUUUUUUUGUGUAAUAGUUUUAUCUAAAUCAUUGGAGCAUUCAAGAGUUGUAUGUAACUCAUCAAAAAAAUAUUCUUGACUUUAAGUAGACUGCAUAAUGACUUUUUCUGCCUUGUCUCUCCUCGAAUACCUUCUCAAAUCUGGCUUGUCCAAACGUUCAAUUCUCUCCCCUGAUUGGACAUUUCCACCUGUCUACUAAAACUCGCUCUCUGAACUAUAUCAUUCAGAAUCAGAGAAUUCGGGAUCACCUUUUCCUACUCAUUAUUCUCCCUCUGAAGAAGUGAGUGGGUGGAUACCAAAUAAAAUUCAGUUUCUCAGAAAGUAACAUCCAUACAAACAGUAUUUUCUAAAUAGAGGAUGAUAACACCUGUAUCCCUUUUGUGUCGAAGAAUACCCGGCAAACACAUAUUUAAGGGCCUUGGGGUCCAACUUUCCAACCGUCCUAGUAUGGACAAAACAAAACCCAAAUACUUUUGGAGGAACAAUGUAUGAAUUCCUUCCUUGUAGAACCUCCAAAAGGACUCAUAAAAUCAAGGGGCUUGAGGGGCAUUCUAUUGAUAAUAUAAACAAAUAUAAAGACUGCAUUUUCCCAGUAUGCUUUGAGUAGGUCCAUGGUGAACCUAAGAGAUCGAGCUACCUCCAAUAGAUACCUAUUUUUCCAUUCAGCAAUGCCAUUUUGUGCACUAGUAUAAGGACAAUUUGUCUGGUAUACUAUCCCAUUAGACUCCAAAUAAGCAGAAAACCUAUUGUCCAUAUAUUCUCUUCCAUUGUCAGUUCUCAAAAUUUUCACCUUAAUAUAAAAUUGAGUUCAAAUCAUCUUGUGAAAGGAAUGAAAACAAAAAAAAACAAAAAAAAAUAAAAAAAAUAAAAAAAAACAUCACUUUUAACUUUAAUCAAACAAACUAAGCACACUGAGAUUGAUUAUUACUUAGAUAAAAAAAAGCUUCAAUAAGAGAUUAUCUUAAUCGAGCACAUCAAAACUUAAGACAGUUAGGAGAUAUUUUCACUCACAUAAGCUCUAAAUGGAGCUCAUGUAGACCAUAUUUGUAACAAGUAUGAUCAACAUCUAUACUCCAACUCGAAGGGGAGUGCUAUAGAAAGUCAACCUUGUAUAUACGUUUCCCUACUUCAGAAACCGUGUUCCUGUUUAGUUAGAAUAAUAAUUAGGUAUGAUCAUAGGGAUUAUGUUCCUAUUUUAAUUACCAUAAACGUGUUAUAUAUCUGUACCAGAUGAUUGUGUAAAACAAUAAAGUAAUUCCAUGAACACAUAAGUAAUAUACCCAAGAUUGGAAACUAAAAUAAUAGGAGAUAGUAAUAAAAAUAAGAAUAGUAAAAAAUAUACAAAUAAAUCUCCUAACAAUCUGCUAUCACUUCAGUUAUGAGAUUCCAGCAAAUUAAGGGAUUUCAACAUGCUGCUAAAAUUCUCACCUGAAUCAUUAGCAAUUCCAAAUGGACAGCACUCAUCUCACUCUUGUCACCAUAAAACCAAUGGAAGGUGUUCUGCACAGUUAUUUGAACCACAUCCAGCUUCAAGUAGCUGUGAUAAAAACAAUUUAACAAUGUGUCAUAGACAUUGUGGCAAAGCAUAAACUUUCUUAAGCCUAAAUGUCAACUUACUCAGGACUAUCUGUUCUUCUAGGCAUCAAUAUUAUUGGCUUCCUAAGUGAAAUGUCCAACUUCAGAGCAGGUGAUCCUUCAAUUUCACUGGUUGUAAAUGACUUCCCAGAAUUUGUCACUUGAUCAUUUAAUUUAACAAGACCCUUUGAAUUGUUGGGAGAUAGACCCAUAAAGUAACUAACAAUCUGCAUAUCAAAAGUUGACAAUACAUGAGAAGUGAAAUAUAACCAUGUAAAAUGGUUAAAAUGCUUAAAGUUGAUUUACCUCCUGCACGAAUCGAUUCAAAUAGACAAUGCGCACUUCUGAAAGCUGGCCAAAAAGGCUAUAUUCAUAACCUUCAUAGUCUCCGUCAUCAACACUAAAUGAAGCAAAAACCAGCUGCAUAAUAACAAGUUAAGGCUCGUAACCACAACAUAAAAAGAUAAGUAUAUAUACAACAGUUAAAAUACGAGAAAAUAGAAAAUGUUGAAAACCAGCAUCAAAAAGAAAUACAGAAAUCAGAGCACUACAGGCAUACAGUAUUAAACUACAAAGUAACAUAUCAACAAUUGAAAAUCUCGAGAAAACCAAAUACUAUUUUCCUUUGUUGUAACUUGUAAGUUGUAAGAGAAGCACAACAUAAAAGAAAUAAUAAAAAAAAAAAAAAGAAAACAGAGCAAUACACACCUCAACAAAUGAGCUUCCCCCUGGAUUUCUCAUAUCACAGAUCCAGAAAUAUGCAUGGUUGCUAGGAAGACUCUCAUCACUUAUUCUUAGAUUUCCCAGAGCUGCUUUUAUACUAAAAGAGCUUGGAAAUACCUUAUUUAAACAAAAAUUAACAAGCAUAAACAGAUAGUAUCAUUCUAAACAAAAAGAACACUAAGGAAAGGGAAAAAACUGAAGCAAACCUUGAUAUCUGUAAGUAAAUUAUCUUGGGACAAAGACGCUAACUUAGUUUCAUUUUCAUUCAUCAACAUAAUCUGAGCACGGGCCAUAUUCAACACUAUAUUGAAAAUAAUUCUAGAUUUUCCCUUCCCCAGCAAACCCUUAACAACAGGGUCCUCGAUCGUUGACAAAUUUUGGUCAUCAACCACUCCUCUAAUAUCGUCAUGCUCAACCAUCAAUGCUGAAUAAUUACCACUGCCAGAUUCACUAUUUCCUUCUUCAACACUAAUAGCAUUGACAAACUCCAUGAUGGCAAGAAUUGUGGGUCUGCGGCAGAAAAAUGACAAAGUAGCUAGCAUCACUGAUACCUGAAAUCACCAUUUACAAAUUAGUCGGUCCAUUAGCCAACCAAAUGGACUGAAAGCAAACACUCUACCAGAGAAAACUAAUCAACCUGCAUGUCAAUAUUAUUAUAUAGAGAAGAGUUCUGGUCGUAGAUAAUUAUCUGAGCUUUCACAAAACUAUCUAAGGUAUCAGUUAGUUCAACAUCCUCCAUGCGAUUUUGAACAGUAUCAACAGGUAGUAAGCCACUGAUUCGAGUAAAAGUGGGAAGCUUCAACAAGGCAUCUUCGAAUGGAUGUGAAAUUGGGGAAGCCAAACACUCAGGAUCAACCAAAUCCUCUGAUGCUUCGUAGAACUUGUCCUCACCUUCACUAGGUGUGACAUUAUUGUUGUUAAAGCUCUUACUCCCAGCCUGUUCAAGUGAUGACGAAUGCUCUUCACUUCGGAUGAAUGAUCUUGCUAGGAAAGAAGACCGAGAAAUGCCAUUGCAACAAACUAAAUCUUCAAUCUCCAAAGAUUUCAAAACAGUGCCAAUGAACAUGUCAUUUUCUCUAAUUGACAACUCAACCUGUGUUAAAAAAAAAUACCAUAAUGAGAAAAAGAAAAUGCAUGAGUGAACUGAACUGUCAUUCAGUAUCAUUUGUACCUGGCCACCAAUUGCUCGAAAUUCAAAUAAAGGAAUCUCUUCAGAAAGAAGCACCUUUAGAAAACUCAGGUCAUGCUAGCAAAAGCAGCAGAUAUAUAAGAUUUCAAGUUCUUCCAUCGAAAAGGAACAUAAGAACACAUGUUCUCCAGGCUUUACCUGACGAUUGUAAUUGAAGCAAAACUUUAGUUCAUCAAGAACUCCUGUUAAAAAAACACGUUCCAUCUCCAAUGCAUCACUUGUAUCAGUGUUGCUAUUGAGUCCCAUUUCUGAGCUCUCGGAAUCUGAUGAAGUUUCAGAAAGACCAGUAAUAGGUGCUGAACCCUGUGUAGAAAUCCAUGGGUAAGAUCUUUGAUUAUGCCUUCAAAAUGAAACAUUUUGCCACAAACCCUCCAUAAGCACAGAAAUUGUUGUAAUUUUUUACACAUUUCCUGCGCAUUUUUGCUUAAGAUUACUCUUUAGUUUUAUAAUAACUUAUAAACUGAUUAUUGAAUUGUUUAUCAAAGCACAAACAAAAUGAUCUAUAACCUUCUUCCGGUAUUUCUACCAAUAAUUUCUUUAUCUUCUACGUGAAAAUUUCCUGAAAAUGAUAUUUUUAGAAAAACUUAUUAAACCAUUGAUUUAACUACUUCUGUGAAUAAAAUAUUUUACAAAUAAUUAGUUUAUGUUUCUUAAAUGUAAAGGACUAAUUAAAUCAAUUUUAGAAAUUGAAUCAACUAAAACAACAGAAAUUAAACAAGCUUAUGAAGAAAGGAAUAGCAACGAAAAGAUACGUGAAGAAUUUUAGAGUAUUAUUGUAUUUCACUCUUGAUCUUUACAAGUAAUUUAUAUAAUUAUUUAUACACAAAAAAUUACAAGCAAAUAAUAAAAGAAUAAUUAAGGAUCCUAAUUUAUGGCUAGAAUCCAUAAUCAGAUCAGAUCAUAUCAUUAGAAUCAGCAAAUAAGUCAACACUCCCCUCAAGUUGGUGCAUAAAUGUCGCACAUGCCUAACUUGCAAAUUAAAUUAUUGUAGAUCUAUUGUUGAGCCCUUUAGUGAACACAUCUGCAAGUUGCACAGUAGAAGUCACAUGAACUAAACUCAAGACACCGUUUAUUAAUUUUUCUUUAAUGAAAUGUCGAUCAAUCUCAAUGUGCUUCGUUCAGACAUGUUGAACCGGAUUUUGUGCUAUACUGAUGGCAGCUUUGUUGUCACAAUACAAAGUUAUCUUGUCUCUCGAGCAACCUCAACUCCUACAAUAACUUCUGCAACCAUAAAAGUUUACACCUUGGGCCAUUGCUUUGUAUUCUGCUUCAGCACUUGACUGAGCUAAUAACACUUUAUUUUUUGCUCCUACAGGUGACAAGGUUCCCUUUUACAACUGUGCAGUAGCUAGAGGUAGAUCUCCUGUCAUCGAGAGAUCCUACUCAAUCUGCAUCUGUAAAAGUUUCAACUCAAAGGUGACCAUAUAUGGAGUAAAGAAGCCCUUUCCCUGGCGUAGACUUCAAGUAUCUCAAGGUGCGAGGGACAGCUGCAUAUUAGUCUCGCAAGGGUCAUACAUGAAUUGGCUGAGAGAUAAAUCAACCUCCCUACCAAUCAUUGGUAUCUUCCAAUAUUCACAGACUCAUCAGUUCCUGCUUGCAUCUUAUGAUUACUUUCAAUGGGAGAUUCUGCUAGUUUACACUCCAACAUACCAGUAUCUUCCAAAAAGUCCAUAAUAAAUUUUUUUUAGAAGAUAAAGAUUCCUUUUUUUAAACUAGCCACCACAAAACCUAAGAAAUAUUGAAACUUUUUAGAUCUUUGAUUUCAAAUUCUUGAGCCAAUAACCUUUUUAGUUAAGCCACUUCCUCAUUGUCAUCAACAUACACAAUAGAAAGAGUGAUCUUACCCUUGUGAUGUUUAAUAAACAGAGUAUGAUCAACAUUGCUCUGUUAGUAACCACAAGACAUCAUGGUUCUACUAAACCUGUCAAACCAAACUCUAGGAGAUUGUUUUAACUCAUACAAAGCAUUUUUUAAUAUGCACACCUCUCCUUCUAUUUUCUCAUCAGCGAUCCCAAGAGGAAUCUCCAUGAACACUUCUUCCUCUAAAUCCCCAAGAAAGAAAGCAUUCUUCACAUUAAACUGCUAUAAGUCCCAAUCCAAGUUGGCUACACAAGAUAAUAGGACUCUGAUUGAGUUCAUUUUUACAACUGGGCAAAUAUUUCUUGAUAAUCCACUCCAUGGGUUUGGAUAAACCUUUCAGCAACCAAUCUGGGCUUAAACUGUUCAAUUGUGCCAUCAACUUUACACCCAACAAGUUUCUUUCCAGGUGGGAGAGUAACAAGCUCCCAAGUCUCAUUUUUUACCAGUACUUUCAUCUCAUCAAUAAUUGCUCCCUUCCAUUUAGGAUCUACAAGAGCUUCCUCUCAAUCCUGUGGAAUAGAUACAGAGGAAAUAGAUAAAGAAAAGGUUUUAUAGGAGGGAGACAAAGAUUCAUAAGAAAUAGAGUGUUUAUACAAGAUCUGACACAUUUUCUUUGUGCAAUAGGUUCAUCUAAAUUAUUAAAGCAUUCAAGAGUUGUGGGUAACUCACCAGAAGAAGAUUCUUCUUCUGCCUUGUCUCUCCUCGUAUACCUCCUCAAAUCUGGUUUGUCCAGACGUCCAAUUCUCCCAUCUGAUCGGAUAUCUCUCCCUGUCUACUAGAACUAUCUCUCGAAACCAUGUCAUUUAGAAUAAUAGAAUUCGGGAUCACCUCUUCUUUCUCAUUAUUCUCCUCUUGAAGAGGUGAGUGGGUGGUACUAAAGUAGGGUCAGUUUCUCGAAAGGUAACAUCCAUACUGACAAAGUAUUUUCUAGAUAGAGAAUGAUAACACCUGUAUCCCUUCUGUGUCGAAAGAUACCCAACAAACACACAUUUAAGGGCCUUGGGAUCCAAUUUUCUCGCCGUCCUAGUAUGGACAAAGCAAAUACACUCAGAUACUUUUGGUGGAACAAUACAUGAAUUCCUUCCUUGUAGAACCUCCAAAGGACUCAUGAAAUCAAGAGCUUUGAGGGGCAUUCUAUUGAUAAGAUAAGCAGAUACAAGGACUGCUCUUCCAUUGUCAAUUCUCAAAAUUUUUACCUUAAUAUCAAAUUGAGUACAAAACAUCUUGUGAAAGGAUUAAAAACAAGAAAAAACAUCACUUUUUGCUUUAAUCAAAUAGACCCAAGUCAUUCAAAUGCAACAAUCAAUAAAGGUGACAAACCAUUGAUACCAAACAAGGAGAUAGUUUGAUUAGGCCCCCAAACAUCAUAAUAAAGUCAUAAAAGGAAUUUGGCUUUUAUUAUGACUUAAAAGAUAGGAGGUUUUAGUGUAAUUAGCAUACUCACAAGUAUCACAAAAUAAAGAAUCAAACUAAGUUCUAGUAAACAAAUUAGGAUAAACUUUUUCUAAGAUAAAAAAUGGAUGCCUUAACCGCCUGUAUCACUGUAAUAUUUCCUGAUUGACAUUCUUAUUUUCUCCAAAACAGGCUUGAGAUAUCGGAGAACCUGGAUCACCGUCCAAUAUGUAUAAGCCAUCACGCAAUCUACCAUUGCCAAUCCUCUUCCCGGUGAGAAAAUCCUAAAUAACAUAAUGAUCAAGAAAAAACUCAAUUUUAUAGUUAGAAGCAUUAGUGAUAGCACUGACAGAUAAAAGGUUGACAGGAAAUUGAAAACUCGAAGGAUAGAUGAUAAUUUAAUAUCGAACGCACAAAUAACAGAACCUAUUCCGAAUAUGGGAUUAAAAGAGUCAUCAGCAAUUCUGAAACUGCAUUUGCUUAGGGAAAGAAAAUAAUUAAAAAAGCCUUUAGAAGAGCCUGUCAUGUGUCUAUUCGCACCAGAAUCAAUAAUCCAUGUAACAGUUUCAAGAGAAAAAGCAUUACCUGACUUUACAAAGUUAAAUGUAACACCAGACUCCAAGGGAGGAAGAGGUGUCAAUAUGAGACACGAAGCGCUUCAGACCCUUAAUUUCAUUAGAGGAAAGAAACUCAGCAGUUGUUGUCUCCUUAAAGGGCUCCUCCACACGUCUGCUAAAUUAGCUUGAGCUCUAGAGGUACCUCGUUGUUUCCUCCACGGCCUCUAGUGGGACGACCAUAUAACUUCUAGCAAGUCUUCUUGGUAUGCCUCAGUUUCCCAUAAUAGUCACAAUGAUUGUGAUCUUUCUUAGAAUUAGGAGGCUGCGGGUGCUCAAAUUAGUAGACAACCCAGCCUUUUCAACUGGUGCGGUGCAGUAUAGAGCAUAGCAUGUCGGCAACUUUCCUCCUGUUGAACAUGCACAUGGGCCUCUUCCAAAAAANNNNNNNNNNNNNNNNNNNAAAAAAAAAAAAAGAUUUUUCCCCAACACUUAGACCCGAAUUGAAUCAUAUUCAUUAUUCAACCCUGCAAGAAAAUCAUAGACCCGCUCCCUUUCAAUCAUUUUCCAAAAUUUGACUGCAUCUCCAGCAUAGUUUGCAUCUCCAGUACAGUCUGCAUCUCCAGUACAAUCUGCCUGGAAGUCCUGAUAGUAAUCAAGCUCCUGCCAUAAGCCACAUAACUCAGAAUAAAAUUGCAAGAUAGUCAUUUCUCCUUGCUUAGUACCAUGGAUCUUAUUUCGAAUAUCAUAAAUUUGGGUAUCAUUCCCAAUCUUGGAAUAAGUUAAGGAUAAAGCCUUCCAUAUUUUUGCACUAGUAUCAAUUAACAAACAGGACUUAAAGAUAUGUGGUUGCAUAGAGUUAAGUAAUCAUGUCAUAACAAGACAAUUAUCUAAUUCCCAUUGAAAAAAAUUUGGAUCCCUCUCGUCCGGUUGCUUCUUAUUACCAGUGAUAUAGCUAUGCAGUCCUCUAGCCUUGAUAAACAACAAACAAGACCUUGACCAAGGAAGAUAAUUGAUUCCAUCAAGUUUUACGAGACUAAUUUGCAAGGAAAGAUUAUCAGAGUUAGGAAUCGAGACCUUUUUGCCUUCUGCCCAUGGUAAAAAUAAAUGAACCGUGAAAGAAUAGAAAAUACCUAAGGUUGUACACACAAGAGAGCCAAUCGAAUUACCAAAAGACCAAGUAGCAGCACCGGAUGGUUGGAAAGAGGAUCGAAAUUGGUACCAGAGUGAUCGGAGCGGCGAAGCAGCAUCAGACAGAUCUCACACCCUAGGAAGGAGGGCGCGUGAGCCUCAUGCGCAUGGCUUUCCAGCGUCAAAGCGGGUGGUCUGUCCGGCAAUGAUCCAGCGGUUCUCUUGGUGGCGACAGUAAGAUGUGAAAAGAUCCUCUAGAUAGAGUAGUAUCAAAAAGAUAGAUCUAAGGUUUUAGAAACCCUAAAGAAGAAAAUUUGAAUGUAAACCCUAAAAUCAAAAAAAUAUUGUGAUACCAUGAAGAAUUUUGGAGAAUUUUAGAGUAUUUCUAUAUUUCACACUUCAUCUUUACAAGUGAUUUACAUGACUAUUCAUACACAAAACAUUACAACUAAUAAGAAGCAAAUAAUCAAAAAAUAAUUAUAGACAUAAUUAAGGAUCCUAAUUUAUGUCUAGAAUCCGUAAUCAAAUCAAAUCAUAUCACUGGAAUCAGCAAAUAAGUCAACAAUAAGUUAACUAUAAUAAAGGACAACAAAAAUUAGGAACAAAUCACUUCAUAAUUUUUAGAUGGUAAAAACAAGAAAGAGAACCCUAGGGGACAGUGCAAGCCAAUUUUAAAAGAAAUAUAUCCUUUUCAACCUUUUUUGCUCUAUUAGUCAAUAGACUACAAAAUCUUUUAAGAUUAUAUACAAAUACAAUUGUUGACCAACAUAAAGGAUUCCUAAUGUUUAGGCAGAUUUUUGGAUUCUAAUUAUGCUUGAUUAUAGGAAUUUUAUUUCCUACCUUUAUUAUAGAUAUUCCUAAUUAGGUGUGUUAUAAAUAUUUCUAAUUAGGUUGAUUUUGUGUAUAAAUAGCCAAACAUUGUAAAGAUCAAUUCAAUUGUAACAUUAAAAAAAAAAUUCCUCUCAAAAUUCUACAUGGUAUUAGAGCAUAAGCCUAAUUUAGGGUUGUAAUUCAAUUUUAAAUUUUCAAAAUCUUAAGCAAUCAAAUUUGGUACUCUCCGGUCUAAGCCUAUUUUCUUUCAUCACCGCCACUUCCCAUCGAGUCGCAGCCUUCUCGAAGGUUGUCCGCCAGUCUCCGGUGAGCUGUCCACCAGUCUCUGGUGAGCCAUCCGCUAGCGCACGAGUCUCACGCGCCACCCAUUGCCAGCGCGUGAGACUGUUUCUAGCAAGGAUCUUCACGUCUAUUCGCCGUUGUUGACUCUGGACUCCUGUUUCCGGCCUUCUGCUGUUGUUUCUUGCUCUGUUGAUUUGUUGCUGUGGGCAGACUCUUUAUCGUUGUUUUGGAUAUUCCUUUUGCUUUGUUGCUGCUGUUUACUGCGCUAGAAGCAUAAAGAAUUUCUUGUGGAGUUGGGUGUUGAUUGGGUAUUUGUUUUAGUUGGACAAUCUCUUUCCCGUGAUGGGUUUGUUGUUUUUCUAAUAUGUCGUCUCUUGAUGCUACUCCAUAGAUUAUUGAUUUCGGUGCAAAUAGACAUAUGAUAGACUCCUCUAUAAGCUUCCUUAAUUACCUUCCAUAUCCAUAAAUUUGACCAUUUGACGUAGCUUAGAUGGUAAAAACAAGAAAGAGAACCCUAUGGGACACUGCAAGCCAAUUUUAAAAGAAAUAGAUCCUUUUCAACCUUUUCUGCUCUAUUAGUCAACAGACUGCAAAAUCUUUUAAGAUUAUAUACAAGUACAAUUGUUGACCAACAUAGAGGAUUCCUAAUUAGGAAGAUUCAAUCACUGUUUGGGCAGAUUUUUGGGAUUCUAAUUAUGCUUGAUUAUAAGGAUUUUAUUUCCUACCUUUAUUGUAGGUAUUACUAGUUGUGUUGUAAAUAUUUUUAAUUAGGUUAAUUCUUUGUGUGUAACUACCCAAACAUUGUAAAGAUUAAUUCAAUUGGAAUAUAAUAAAAAAUUUCUCCCAAAAUUCUACAACAAUACUAACUAAAAGUCAAGUAUGAUAUUGAAGGAUUUACUGAAGCACUAUAUAUAGCCCUCUGCAGGCGGCUUUGCCAAUUUCUCCGUGAAUCACCAGAAUCACAUAGCAGUAUUACUGAAUUCACAUCUUCUACAACCUACACACAAAUUCAAUAUGAAAAUGAGAUGAUGUUUAAGGAGAUAAUUCAAAUAUGAAUGGCCACUCUGGGAACUAAAAGGAUGACAAGAUACAAACACAACAAGUGCAACCUUGUUAACAGGACGUCCAGUAUCACAGAUGGCCAAUACAUGAUGCAUACCACCAACCAAUUCAGCUGGAAGUUGAUAUAAUUGUUUUCCUCGCAAACUACAGCAAGCAUAUGAAUAAACCCAAUCAAUAAAAAACCAUUAAACCUUCCAUAAUUCAUAGAAGUACACAACUCAACCAAUAGAACAUAUAUCUGAAACUCUGGGUUCUGCUGUACAAUUUUCCAUGCAAAUUUUUUAGCACUUACCACAUCGAGACCUGCAAGAAUUCUUGACAUUUUUCCUUUUUUUUUUUUUUUGUUGUUGCACAAAGUUAACAAAGAAAACUUGUUAAACACUUUACUCCAUGCAGUAAAGCUAUGUCAACCAAAGGCAACCCCACUUUCUUGAGGCUUGAAACUUGAAAGUUGAAACAGAACAUAAUCCAUAUAUCAGAAUUUCCUUCCAAAUAAGCUGCAACUUGAAUUGCACAAUGUUGUUUUUUUCACAACAAAAAUAUUACAAUUUUCCAUUAAUCUCCUAAUGGAUAUGGAAAUAUGCAUGUGCAAGCAUGAAAUUUGUCUUAUUUUUACUACUGUGCGAUGUUGUGCAAAUGUUCAGCACAUUCCAUUACCACUGCUCAUUUCUCCUUAUUUCUAACUGAUUUUUUCAUGAAGUAGAACAAAAUAAGUUUCAAACAGCAUCUAAUGUCAAAUUUUGGGGAAUAUGAACAGCAAUUGAAAAAUGAACAUAAUAAUGUAUAUUGACAAGAAUAAUAUGUACAUGUAAUUCAAUGAUAAGAACAUUUGAUAUAAAUAACCAACCACACACUUUUGUCAAGACUCCCCUGUUUGAUGUCAAGUUUUUCAUUUUCUAAAUCCAUAUUUAGAUACAACUAUACACAAGGCCCAUAAAAAAUUGGUGCUAAGAAUUUGGUUUCUUAACCUGAGAUACUGUUUGUAAGAUUUAGAACUAGAGUCUUCCAAUAAAUAAAGAAAAGGCCCAACUAAGCAGAGGUAUCGACGCUGCCAUUCAGCUGCCCUAUUUGCCACGCCCUGUCACAUAAAAAUUAUGAAGCAAAAUCAAAAGCUAAAAAGAAGAAGUAACUCAUUGUCAAAAGGCUCGCCCUGUUUUUCAAUAUUGAACCAGGUUUUCAAAUAACAGUAUCAGCAUCAGUCAAUCUGUUACAGUUUUGCACUCAAUUGCACUUCAUGAACAUUUUUAAAGUUCAUAUCUCAUAAAAAUGAUAUCGAUAUUGAAACAUGGAUUUGAUUUCAUAUGCACUUUACUCAGAUAAUAGCUAAAGGAAAUAGCUCGUCGCUCGUUUAAAUAAAUUCAAUUAUUAAACCUAAAAUUAUGAAGCAUUCAAUUCAUAUGUUCAAAUAACAUCAUCUCUUAUGUAUCUAACAACAUUGAACAUUUCACAGCAAAUAACAAGUAAAAGAAAAUAAUAAGAAUUAAUAAAUAAGACCUCUUGAAGUAUAAAUUAACAAAUUUUGCUGACUUAGAACAAAUUAAAAUUGGCUAAAAUGGCAGAAAAGAGAAGCGCUAUAAAAAAGGAAAGAAAUCACAAAAGGAUCUCUCUCGCAUAAAAAGGAAGAGGCUAUUGUUCCAUGACUGAGACAUCAAUAUGCAUCUCAGUCUAUUUCAGACAUAUUGUUCUAUAUAAACCAAUAAUGAUAGUAUGGCUAUAAAUCCCAAAUCACAGUCCUAUACUCCUAUUAUACCCUGUCCUAUAUUGUCAAUUGCACCUUCAAAUUCCAUGAUGAUCUACCCAAUACGGAUGUACAGCCAAUUUUUGAAAGCCUGCAUUCAAACACCAGGAGAGAGAGAGAGAGAGAGAGAGAGAGAGAGAGAGAGAGAGAGAGAGAGAGAGGAAGGAGAAUAAGAAGAAGAAGAAGAAAAAACCUUUCGAAUAAGAAGAUGCAACCACCCUUCAAAGUCCGCUUGAUCCCAAAAACAAAGAAGACUUGAAUUCUCAGCAUCCUCAUCCUGAAACAUCCUUGCUACCUGCAUCAACCGAUGGUACCGUGCAGGAGAAAAGUGAAACCCUAAUGACGGCAACCGCACAGAUAGUCUUGUGGAAGGAUAGGAUGGGUUUUCUAAUCGAAUCUGCAUAUGACGUGAUGUUAGUUUCUAACUCAAAAGGUAAUCAACUACCACAAUCAUGCAUGUAAUAGAUGAAAACCAUGCACACAACAUAUACAGGUGCAUGUACACAAGCCGACACCAGUAAAAUGUUAUAACCCAAAGUGGAAGCAUCCACAUUUUUACCUGUUGAAGCCUUACAAUUACUCCACACUUAUCAAUAACAGGCAAGAAGCUAACACCAUUUGAUUUGCCAGAAUCAGCAGACUUGCGCAAAGGGGCUUGACUCCAGUUGUAGUCACCAUCAACCAAAAAGGCAGAGAUGUCACUCAAAACCAAAUCAAACUGCAAGUACAUAUUGAGCUCCUCAGAUGGUCUCCUUUUAUUGUCAUCCUGCAUACAUUUGAAAAAUCCAUAUAAAGCAUAACUCUGCAUUCCAAAAUGCCAAGAUCGAGUUCAUUGAUGAAGAUGAACCUGUGAGCGAAUCACCAAAUUUCCCAAGUCUAGCAAAAGUUUUGUUGCAUGGACGUUGUUAGGACGAAAUUCAGUAGGAAUUGUAAUUUUUGGAGCCGCAAUGUCCAAGUCCAACAGAAACCUAAUCAGCAUAUAGAUGCAAAAUGUCAUUUUCUACCAGUUAAAUAUGUCUCCAACACACCCCCACAUGCAAAUGCCACUGGGCUUGAAGCGUGAACAAACACAUGCCCACUUUAUCUUAUGCUAUAUCAAUAAAUGGAGGUAGUGAGAAUUCUAACUGUAGACCUUUUUAGUCUGACAGGCUCUAAUGCCAUGUCAAGGAACCACUUCACCUAAGCUUGUAGGUGAAAGCCCCAGUAAUAGUCAUAUAUCUCCAACAUCAACUAACAUAUUACUAGCCUAGGUAACUGGCAGUAUGCAGCUUUCAAUACAGUCGCAAACAUUUGCACAUAGUUAAUAUUAAAAUUAAAUAAUGCCACAGAACAUAGCUCUAACUCUACAAAUAUUUGCUGAUGGGCUUUUAACAAUCCAUAGGGAAUCUGCUUUGCAACCUUCCACCAAAGUACCAAGUUGCAAGGAAUAUCCAUAAACCUUGUACAAUAAUUUCUCAAGACAUAUUAAUAAACACGAAACAUAAUGGAGAUAUUCAAAACUAUAAGCAUGUAUUUACACGGAAACGAUCACUUUUCAUUCGAUAGAAGAAGAUUAUUAGUGAAGAAAGAAGAGCAAUACAAAUUGGACAACAACACGACCUCCCGUCAAAGAAAGAAGAGAAGUAUGACAAAAGAACAAAACUAAUAAAAUAGCCCGUGUCAACAUCAGCCAAAAGCACUCCUAAAAGAUGACAUAAAGAAAAAACUCAUAAAAGAUCCAAAAGAUAACACCAUAUGAGUUCUACAACUAAAUUUAUACUUUUAUAAAAAUGUCAAAGAACAAUCAUUACAACCCUUUUUCAAAUGGAAAACCAAAACAGAGAUACCAACCUUGCUUGAUCUUUCAAAGCUCUGUUCACUUGUUGUUGAGCAGUGCGCUUGACUCCAUCAAUGGUCAUCUGGUUACCAAAGGAGGAAAAAUGUUGACUUAUUUGCCGAUUUCUAAUUAUAUGAUUUGAUUAAAUUACAAAUUCUAGACAUAAAUUAAGAUCCUUAAUUAUCUUUAUAAUUUUUUUUUAUUAUUUAUUUCCUAUCUAGUUGUAAUUCUUUGUAUAUAGAUAAUCAUGUAAAUCACUUGUAAAGAUUAAGAGUGAAAUAUAAGAAUACUCUAAAAUUCUCCGAAAUUCUUCGUAGUAUCAAAGCUUUUACCUUAUUUUAGAGUUUAAAUUCAAUUUUUUCUCUUUAGGGUUUCUAAAACCCUACAUCUACGAACUUUUUUCGUCUCACCGCCGCCACCAGCAGGGUCGCCGGACUGUCGCCGGCCAAUUGUCCAACUUCGAUGCCAGAAAUCCACACGCGUGAGGCUCACACGCCCUUCCUUCCCAGCGCGUGAGGUUCAAUCCAAAGCUGCUAUGCUGCCCAUACAACCCUGGCACCGUUCCGGCCAUCCCAUGCCGCUACCCGGUUUCUUGGUAAUUUGGUUGGACUCUCUUGUGUAUACAAUCUUGAGUACCUAACUCUGAUAAACCUUCCUUGCAAAUUUAUCAGAAACUGUGGAGGAGCUAUUUAAGGAGACAACAGCUGCUGAGCUCCUUCCCCCUAAUGAAAUUUAGAGACCCAAGUGCUUCAUGUCUCAUAUUGACACCUCUUCCUCCUCUGGUGUCACAUCUAAUUUUGUGAAGUCAGGUAAUGCUUUCUCUCUUGAUACUAUUUUAUGGAUUAUUGAUUAUAGUGCGAAUAGACACAUGACAGACUCUUCUAAAGAUUUUCUCAAUUAUUUUCCUUCUCUAACGAAAAAUAGUGUCAGAAUUGCUAAUGACUCUUUUACUCCCAUAUUCGGAACCGUUCUGUUAUUUGUGCACCCUGUUAAAUUUGGGCCAGGUCUAACUCACACCAAAAGCUAGCUCAAGGGGUAGGAGUGCCUAUAGCCCAUAGAAGGGGCACAUUACCCCUUUUCACAAGCGAUGUGGGAUUCAACACACCCCCUCACGCUCAGAAUUUUAUUGGUGUGUGACAUAUUUAUAGGAGGCCCAACAUCAGAUGGGGAGGCUCUAAUACCAUGUUAAAUUUGGGUUAGGCCUAACUCACCCCAAAAGCUAGCACAAGGGGGAGGAGUGCCUAUAGCCCAUAUAAGGGGCACAUUACCCAUUUCCACAACCGAUGUGGGAUUCAACACACUCAAUAUUAAAUUGUCAUCUGUCCUCCAUACUCCCCAUUCUCCCAUCAACCUUUUAUAUGUCAAUGCCAUCACCAAUGCUCUUAACUGUAAAAUUGAAAUUUUUUUUUUCUAAUUAUUGUGUUAUUCAGAAUCUUUUCACAAGGAAGAGGAUUGGUAAUGGUAGACUACAUGAUAGCUUAACCAUGUUGGAAGGUGAUGUAAGUUCUCCAAUAUCUCAAGCCUGUUUUGGAGAAAAUAAAGAUGCCAAUUAGAAAAUAAUACAGUGACGCAGACGGUUAGGGCAUACAUCGUUCUUUAGAAAAACUUUAUCCUAAUUUGUUUGCUAGAACUCAGUUUGAUUCUUUAUUUUGUGAUGUUUGCGAGUAUACUAAGCACGCUAGAAUCUCCUAUCCUUUGAGUUAUAAAAAGCCAACUUCCUUUUGUGACUAUUCAUUAUGAUGUUUGGGGGCCUACUCAAACUGUCUCUUUAUAUAGUAAUUAAUGGUUUAUCACUUUUAUUAAUUGUUGCACUCGAAUGACUUGUGUAUAUUUGAUUAAAACUAGAAGUGAUGUCUUUUAUUUUUUUCAAACCUUUCACAAAAUAAUUUGUACUCAAUUUGAUACUAAGGUGAAAAUUUUGAGAAUUGACAAUGGAAGAGAAUAUAUGAAUAUUACAUUUUCUGCUUAUUUGGAGUCCAAUUGAUAGUACACCAAAUAAGUUGUCCUUAUACUAGUGCACAAAAUAGAGUUGCUGAAAGCAAAAACAAGCAUCUAUUGAAGAUAGUUCGAUCUCUUAUGUUCACCAUGAACCUAUCCAAAGCAUAUUGAUAGAUGCAGUCCUUGUAUCUUCUUAUCUUAUCAAUCGUAUGCCCCUUAAAGCCCUAGACUUUGUUAGUCCUUUGGAGGUUCUACAAGGACGGAAUUCAUACAUUGUUUCACCAAAAGUAUUUGCGUAUGUUUGCCUUGUGCAUACUAAAACAGUAGGAAAGUUGGACCCCAAGCCCUUAAAUGUGUGUUUGUUGAGUAUUUUCCGACACUUAAAGGAUACACAUAUUAUCAUCCUCCAUCUAGGAAAUACUUUGUCAGUAUGGAUGUUGAAACUGAACUCCACUUUAGUAACACCGACUCACCUCUUCAAGAGGAGAAUAAUGAGAAAGAAGCGAUGAUCUCGAAUUUUGUGAUUCUGAAUGAUAUGGUUCAAAGGCAAAGUUCUAGCAGACAGAGGGAGACGUCUGAUUCUGAAUGAUAUGGUUUAGAGGCAAAGUUCUAGCAGACAGGGGGAGACAUCUAAUCAGAGGAGAGAAUAGGACAUUUGGACAAGCCAAAUUUGAGGAGGUAUUCGAAGAGAGAGAAGACAGAAGAAGCAAUGAUGCCAGCCUAUUUGGAGUCAAGAAUUUUCUUUUGGCGAGUUACCCUCAAAUCUUGAAUGCUCCAAUAAUUUAGAUAAACCUAUUGUACAAAUAAAAGGUGUCAGCUCUUGUACCAAAUACCCUAUUUCUAACUUUAUUUCUUAUGAAUCUUUGUCUCUCUACUAUAGAGUCUUUGCCUUGUCUAUUUCCUCUGUGUCUAUUCCACGGAAAUGGAAGGAAGCUCUCGCAGAUCUUAAAUGGAAGGGAGCAAUUAUUAAAGUGAUGAAAGCACUAGCAAAAAAUGAGACAUGAGAGCUUGUCUUUCUCCCACCUGGGAAGAGACUUAUUGGCUGUAAGUAGGUACUCACAGUGAAACACAAAGUUGAUGGUACAAUUCAACAGUAUAAAGCCAGAUUGGUUGCUAAAGACUUCACCCAAAUCUAUGGAGUGGAUCAUCAAGAGACAUUUGUCCCAGUUGCAAAAAUAAACUCAAUCAAUCAGAGUGUUGUUAUCUUGUGCAACCAAUUUGGACUGAGACUUACAUCAAACGAAUAAUACAUUCCUCCAUGGAGAUUUAGAGGAAGAGGUGUUCAUUGAGAUUCCUCUUGGGUUUGCUGAUGAGAAGACACAAAGAAAGUUGUGCAAAUUAAAAAAGGCUUUGUAUGGGCUAAAACAAUAUCCCAGAGCUUAGUUUGAUAAGUUUAACAGAGCCAUGAUAUCCUUUGAUUACCAACAGAGCAAUGCUAAUCAUACUCUGUUUAUUAAACAUCACAAGGGUAAUAUCACACUUCUUAUUGUGUAUAUUGAUGAUAUAGUGGUGACAGGUGAUGACAAAAAGAAAAUGGCUUAGCUAAAAAGGUUGUUGGCUCAAGAAUUUGAAAUCAAAGAUCUAGAAAAGUUUCAAUAUUUCCUAGGUAUUGAGGUGGCCAGAUUAGAAAAAGGGAUCUUUAUCUCCCAAAGAAAGUACAUUUUGAAUCUUUUGAAAAAAACUGAUAUAUUGGGGUGUAAACCAACAGAAUCUCCCAUUGAAAGUAAUCACAAGAUGCAAGCAAGAGCUAGUGAGUCUGUGGAUAUUGGAAGCCGGAAAAUGUUCCCAAAAUGGCAUUUCGGAUCCACUUUAGACACUAUGAAUUCCCUGUGAUGCCUUUUGGUCUCACCAACGCCCUAAAAAUGUUCCAAGCAACCAUGAAUGACAUAUUUUGGCCUUCACUCCACCGUUUUGUGUUAGUCUUCUUUGACCACAUACACGUUUAUAGUCGCUUAUAGGAUGAUCACGUGUCCUAUAUGGAUCAAGUUCUUCGACUGUUAUCAUCUAAUCACUUGGUAGCCAACAUGAAGAAAUGCUCAUUUAGAAAGAGGUCUCUCUCUUUCUUAGGACUUUUAAUAUAUGUCGGAGGUGUGUCAAUGGAUCUGGAUAAAAUUGAGCAGUGCUACAGUGACCUGUUCCUAACUUAGGAAAAGAUGCAAGGGGUUUGUUAGGGCCCAUAGGAAAUUAUCGCCAAUUCAUUCAACAUUAUGGUGAAAUUGCACAGCCCCUAACUCAUCUAACAAAUAAGGUAUCCACAAUAUUUUGUUUAGGAUUCUGCUGCGCAAGAAGCAUUUGAAAAGUUGAAGGCUACAAUUGACCAACUCUAGUAUUAUUGAUGCCUGAUUUUCACCAAUCAUUCUAUUGACCAAUAUAGAAUGUUCCUAGUUAGGAGGAUUCAGAUAUUUGAAAUCCUAAUUAGGCUUAAUUAUAGGCUAGAUUAUAGAGAUUUUAUUCUUAUUGUAAAUAUUCUUAAUUUAGAUUGAUUCUUUGUGUAUAAAUACUCAAACCUUGUAAAGAUCAAUUCAAUUGGAAUAGAAUUAAAAAUUCCUCCUAAAAUUCUUCAUGGUAUCAAAGUAUUGCCACUUUAAUUGGCAUAGGUUUCAAAUAUGUCACAAAAAGUUAAGGUUAACUAAUAGGUCAAGCUUCUAGGUGACUAUAUCAAGGGAGUUGUUCGACACCCCCUGUACCGGAAGAAAGCCCAUCAAAUUUGCAGCCGAUACCCCGCGAUGUGACCCUGCUCUGAGCACAUGCGUGUCCUCACACGAUGCCACAGCAUUUCGCGUCUCCUUCCAUGCGCCGGCGUGUGAGCCUUUCUCCGGCGUUCUUUUCUUUCAGCGCUCCUUUCCGGCCCUCUUUCAAGAAUGUCGUGUCUCCGACCGGCCAUUUUCCAUGACUGGAUUCUCCUUUGGAUUUUUCAAGGUGUGUUAACGGUAACUUGAUCAUUACUGCCUCUUUGUGUUACUGGCCCCUUUUACCUUUAAAAUGUCAUAUAAGAAAGGCACUAAUGGAGGUGAAGUAUGUUUUUUGAUACUCCUCCAUAAAUUAUUAAUUCUGGUACAAAUAGACGCAUGACAGGUUCCUCUAAAAGCUUCCUUAAUUACCUUCUGUAUCUACAAAAGGACACAGUUAGAAUAGCCUAUGGUUCUUUUAUUCCUAUCUUCGAAAUCGGAUCAAUUGUUUGUACUUCUAAUAUUAAGCUAUCAUCUAUUCUCCAUGUUCAUCAUUUUCCUGUUAAUCUUUUAUCUGUUAGUACUCUUACCAAAACUCUUAACUGUAGAAUUGAAUUUUUUUCCCUACUAUUGUGUUAUUCAAGACCUUCAAACUAAGAAGAGGAUUAGCUAUGGUAGACUACAGGAUGACAUAUAUGUUGGAAGGAAAUCUGAGUUUGAAAUCACCUCGGGCACUUUUUGAAAGAAAUCAAGUUGUCAACCAGGAAAUCAUAUAGUGGCAUCGACGGUUAGGACAUCCAUCCUUUUUUAUUUUAGAGAAACUUUAUCCUGAUUUAUUUUUCAAGGCUCCAUGUGGUUCUUUAGUUUAGUUUGUGAUACUUGUGAGUAUGCUAAGCAUACAAUAAUCUCGUAUUCCUACAACAACAAUAGAAAUAUGAUCCCUUUUGUGAUCAUCUAUUAUGAUGUUUGGAGACUUACUCAAACGAUCUCAUUAUCUGGUAAUUGUUGAUUUAUUACUUUUAUUGAUUACUGCUCUUGCAUGACUUGGGUUUAUUUGAUAAAGGCAAAAAGAGAUAUGGUUUCUUGCUUUCAAUUUUUUCACAAGAUGAUUUGUACUCAAUUUGAUGCUAAGAUAAAAGUUAUGAGGACUGAUAAUAGUACAGAGUACAUAGAUGGCCAUUUUUCAACUUAUCUGGAGUCUAAUGGGAUGUUGCAUCAAACUAGUAGUCCUUACUCUAGUUAAUAGAAUAAGAAUGGCUCAUCAUGAACCUUCCAAAAACCUAUUAGGAGAUUUGGUCUUAGCCGCAAUUUAUCUCAUUAAUAGAAUGGCUCUCAAAGCUCGUCUUUAAGAGCCUUAGGUGCUAUAAGGGAAAAAUGCUUGUAUUGUUCCACCAAAGAUAUUUGGAUGCACAUAUUUUGUUCAUACUAAGACAAGUAGGAAGCUCAAUUCGAGAGUUCUUAAAUGUGUGUUUGUUGGGUACUCUCCCACACAUCAAGUUACAAGUGUUAUCACCCUCCAUCUAGAAAAUAUUUUGUCACUAUGGAUGUUACAUAUAGAGAGUCUGAACCUUACUUUAGUACUACCCCAUCACCUUAGGGAAAGAACAAUGAGAGAGAAGAGAUGAUUCCUAGUCUUAUAACUCUAGAGGAGACUACUAUACAGAAGGAGACUAUUGGUGAUCAGGAAAAGAUAAUUAGGCAUUUAAAUAAACCAGAUUUAAAGAGAUACUCAAGAAGAGACACAACAAAAGCAGAAAAAGAUAUUGUGCAGCCUACUUAGUGUCAUGAAUCUUCCUCUUCUCCAUCGAGUGAGUCAUCCCUAAAUCUUAAGCCCAUUAAUGAUCUAAAUAAACUAAUUGUCCAAAAAAAAAGGAGUUAGGUAUUGCACAAAGCACUCUAUUUCUAGCUUUCUCUCUUAUGAUUCUUUGUCUCCAUCCUAUAGAACCUUUGCCUUGUCUAUUUUCUCUGUGUUUAUCCCAUAGGGUUAGAAGGAAGCUCUUAAAGAUUUUAAUUGGAAGGGAGCAAUGAUUGAAGAAAUAAAAAUCUUAACUAAAAAUGAGACCUGAGAAUUUAUGUCUCUUCCACUUGGAAAAAAACCAGUUAGCUGCAAAUGGGUGUUCAGUGUGAAACACAAAGCGGAUGGAUCAAUUGAAAAAUUUAAGGUCAAAUUAGUUGCCAAGGGAUACACCCAAACUUAUGGAGUAGAUUACUAGACAUUUGCCCCUGUUGUCAAAAUGAACUAUAUCAGAAUAUUGCUAUCUUACCUACCAAUCUUGACUAGGACUUACAACAAUUUGAUAUGAAAAAUGCAUUUCUCCACGGAGACUUAAAGGAGGAAUUGUAUAUGGAAAUCCCUCCUAGAUUUGCUUAUGAAAAAAUAUAAGAAAAACUGUGCAGAUUUAAAAAAGGCUUUGUGUGGACUGAAGCAGUCACCCAGAGCUUGGUUUGAUCGAUUUAGCAAAUCUAUGAUUUCCUUUAGCUAUCAACAGAGCAAUACUGACCAUACUCUAUUUAUCACACAUCACAAGGGUAAAAUUAUUGUUUUCAUAGUCUAUGUUGAUGAUAUAGUAAUGACAAGAAAUGACACUAAAGAGAGGGCUCAGCUGAAAAAGCUUUUGGGUCGGGAGUUUAAAAUUAAAAAUUUACGAAAACUUUAAUAUUUCAUGGAAAUCAAGGUUGCCAUAUCAAAAAAGAAAAUCUUUAUUUCUUAGAGAAAAUACAUUCUAAAUCUUUUGGAAGAAACUAGUAUGUUAGGCUGCAAACCAGCAGAAACUCCCAUUGAGAGCAAUCACAAGCUACAAGCAAUGAUUGGUGAAUCAGUGGAUAUUGGCAAAUACCAAAGGUUGGUAGGCAUACUAAUUUAUCUUUCGCAUAUUCGACCAGACAUAACAUAUACACUCAGCUUAGUCGGUUUAUGCAUGAUUCUCGUGAGUCCCAUAUGCAAGUUGUUUUUUUGCAUUUUGCGAUGCUUGAAGUCUGCUCCUGAAAAGGUCUCCUAUUCUCUAAACAUAGUCAUCUCCGUGUAUCUAUAUAUUCACAGAUGCAUAUUGGACUGCAUCUCUUAAUGAUAAAAGGUCGACUAGUAGUGGUUACUGCACACUUGUGGGAGGAAACCUUGUCACUUGGAAAAACAAAAAGCAAAGUGUUGCUUGAUCAAGUGCUGAGGCGGAAUAUAAAGCAAUGGCACAAAGUGUUUAUGAACUUUUAUGGUUGUAGAGAUUGUUGGAGAAAUAUUGAAACUGUUGGAGAGGGACAAACUCCUCUUUUAAUGCGACAACAAAGCUGCCUAUUGUUUCUAAGCCUGGUCUUAAAUAUUUUAUCACUUUUGUUGAUGAUUACUCUCGUGUUACCUGGUUGUAUUUGAUGAAGAAUCGUUCAGAAUUGUUUUCCAUCUUUUGAGCCUUUUGUUCUCAAAUUAAAACUCAGUUCAAUGUUCCUGUGUGGCUAUUAUGCAGUGACAAUGCCAAAGAAUAUUUUUCAAAGAACUUUCAAACCUUCAUGAACCCAAAAUAGAAUGUUUCAUUAGUCUUCUUGUAUCGAUAAACUAUCUCAAAAUGGUGAUACCGAAAGAAAAAACGGCAUCUUAAUUAAGGAAUAAUUAGAGGGUAUCAACUAUCUAGUGUUUUAUCUUGUAAUUGGGAGCUGGAACUUUUCCUGCUCGAGGGAGAAUUAUCUCCUGAACUUGUUUGGCUGUUUAUCCUUUUUAACACAACUCCUCCUUCCUUCUUGUUGGUUCUUGUGUGAUAUUACUGGUAAAAUUCCUUUUCUCUAACAGUACUCAUGUCUCCAAUUAUUAUAAGCAUGCUUACAUGAGAUUCCUUUAAACAAUCAAAUUUCCUUCCUGAACUAUAACCCAUGUUUGCUCAAGAGUGUUGACCAGCUUGAAAGCUCCUACUAACUAACAUUUUUUGCACCUUCCAAAACAAUAACCUACUUGAGUGCAGCAACAAUAAAAUAAUUUCUAGAAGGCUUGCCUAGUAAUCCAAGCUAACUUUUUAUUUAUAAUACAGAGAUCAUGUACAAAUAGAAGAAUACCUGCACAGCAGCAGCUGUUUCCAGUGCAAUAGUUUGACUGACAGAAUGGUUGCUCUCAAAAAAUUUGAUAAUCUCAUGAAUGGCAUCCUUCAAGUACUGGUCAAUAACAUUAAUCAGUAAACAAACACAACAAAAGUGUAAGCUUAUCAUCUUAUGAGAAAUAGAGAGUAGCAGCAUACGGUCAUGUAACAUGGAGAAGCUUUGACAACCAUGCUCCAGUCCACCUUAGCAUCAAAAGGCUUAUAACAGAAGGCACCAAUUAGAGAGUCCAAAGCAGUUGCACUCUGCAGGGAGAAGGGCCAAAUGAUUUUGGGUAACAUACUAAUGUCAAGGAACAAAUAAUUAGCUUUUAUGGCUUUGUAACAAGGAGGACCCCAACCUGGGCGAGAAGACCGUUUGGUGAUGAUAACUGAUAGGACCCCAGUUUCAUGUCAAAAACCUUUGUUUCUGGGUAAAGCUUAAUGGAGCAAUCAAAACCAUCACAAGAUAAUUCAGCAAGACACUUGUGGUCCUCAACAAGCUUUGAAGCAUUAUGUUGCAUGUGAACCUCCAAAUAAGUAUGAAGAGCAUCCAUCUUCUCAUUGAAUAUUACUGACUGCCCAUCAUCACCUUCCUUAUAACCUAUCAGUUUGUUAAGUUGAUCCCAGUCCUCAUCACUGAAACGAAAUUGUUCGCUUUCAUCUUUGAAAGAUUGACUGCUCCUGAAAAAGUAGACAGAGACAGAAAAUAUUACAAAUUUUACCGCAUUGCCAAUUAAAUAAAGAUCAGCUUCAAAGGAUUUUCUCAAGGAAAAGAAUAUAUAUCACCAUCCAAAUGACCACCAUGAUUUCUUUGCUUUCUGUUUCAUCGAGUCAAGUUCUGAUUCCAUUGACCGCUCCACAAACUUGUGAGCCAACAUCCUGCACAAUAUCAGGAAUCAGGAUAGCAUAAAAAUAGUCCAAUGCCAAAAAAACAAAAAACAAAAAAAACAAAAAAGAAGAGAUCUGCAGACCUAUCAUGAACAGUUGACCAUAUAACUCAUAGUAUAGGAACCAUAAGUACAUAUAGAUGCAAGCACGCACAUAUAUGGGAAUUUCAAGGCAAGGGAUAAAGUGAUGGAAUCAAACAACAGUCGUAUAACAGGAUUUUUGGGGGGGGCAUUUCCCAUGACACUGUUAUUUAAAGGCUGCCUAACAACUGUAGGUGUAACUGUAAUGGUUGUUAUGGCCUUUACAUGUAAUUCACUUUCACCCCCUUAAAAUCACAUGCCAAACAGAAGUGUUCUGCAUUCCUACGACCUCCAACAGUUUUACAGCUCUUUUUUUCAGGAUAUCUCUUUCUUUUCACUCAAAUAACACAUUCUUCCUGCAUCUUUCUCCCCAUACGCUAAGAUUUAUCAUAAACUACCUCCAUUUCAUAGUUCUUUCUUCUAAAAGUGAGUUUAUUUUUCCCUUUUUUGCUUUUAUUUUUUAUUAUUUGCUGUCUUUUGCUUUUUUUGUUGAUUAAAAUUCAUGUUGAUGUCAGAUAGAAAUGAAAGAAAAUUUAAUGAUGUUUAAGUUAUAUAGUCUUUAUUGGAUGUAUGUAUGCAUUAUUAGUCAUGUAUGCCUAUUAUAUAGUCAUGUACAUUACUUUAUUUUUCCCUUUUUCGCUUUUAUUUUUUAUUAUUUGCUGUCUUUUGCUUUUUUUGUUGAUUAAAAUUCAUGUUGAUGUCAGAUAGAAAUGAAAGAAAAUUUAAUGAUGUUUAAGUUAUAUAGUCUUUAUUGGAUGUAUGUAUCCAUUAUUAGUCAUGUAUGCCUAUUAUAUAGUCAUGUACAUUACUUUAUUUUUCCCUAAUUUAAUGAUGUUUAAGUUAUAUAGUCUUUAUUGGAUGUAUGUAUUCAUUAUUCGUCAUGUAUGCCUAUUAUAUAGUCAUGUACAUUACUCUUAUCAAAUCAAUUCAUUUCAUGAACUUUGCAAAUUGUUUUGAAAAAUUUGGGUAGCAGCAGGCAUUGCCUUUAUGUUACAGCUGGCAUAGGCCUGUUUCCAUAGACGCAUUUAAAACAAUGCGAGUCUCUAGAGGCCUAUGCAUGUAUAUUUGUCAUUUCCUCUUGGCUGUAACAGAUUUUCUCCUACCAUAAAAGAACCUUAUACAGAAAUUAGGUUAAUGAUUUUGGAAGUAUACUAUUCACAGUAUCUGAUAAUUUAUAAUUUCACUGGAAUGAACUCAGCUGGAGUCUCUAGAGUCUUAGUUUUGUGUAUUAAAGAACCUUAGUAAUUCUAGCAGUUAGUUUUAGCUGUUUAUUUGGAACCCAAGUCCUUCUAAGGAUCAAGAUUAGGGAUUCAAGUAUUUGUUGUACAGGAUUACUUCCAGUCCAGAAAUUAUUAAGCUUAAUGCUUUUUGAAGUUUUACGGUGAAUAAAAUUCACGCAAUUUAUGCUUUUGUUUCUGAGUUCCGUGAUGCAAUUCUAAUCCCAGAAAGUGUGAUGCUUUCUUAAUUGGAGUGGGUUCAAGAUUCAACCAGUGUGAGGCUAGUAGUAGUUUUUUGUUUGCCCUUUCUUCUGUUUUCUGCAAAAAUCAGAUCUGCCACCAGUCUUCUAAUCCUUUUUUGAGUUCUAUAAACUUUAAAUAUAAACCAGUCUUUCAAUCCUUUUUUUGAGUUCUCCAAACCUCAAAUCUAAUUUUCAAACACAAAAGUUUUCCCUAGUCAUCGUAAAACAAGUUAUUUCAUAAAUUAAAGGAAAAAUAACUCAGAGCACAAAAUUAACUCUGGCUAAAAGUUCAACAACAAAUAACAGUAAAUAAAAUAAAAUAAUAAUAGACACUGAACUGGUAAGUGUCCGAAAAAAUGUGCAUCACUUCUAGCUCCGACAGAUAACCACUAUACGCCUUGGACAGGAAUAUUCAGAAGCUAGUAUCUUAAAUAAUAUUUGCACAAGUGAAACUAGCAAAGUGCGUGCACAUACAUGCAUAUGAGAGCAAAAGUUUUCCAUGUUUGUCCCAGUAAAACAGUGCAGUUUAUAUAACAGAGCUUUUCUCUUUCCCUUUCCACAUUAUCAGAAUCUUAAAUAAUACUCCUGCAACUUCCACUUCCGCUGAACAAUUUUACUCGUCCACUUGCUUAACAAUGAGCAUGCACUACACAAAAUGACAAUAAUAAUAUAUCUUGCACACUUGUCAAUACCUCCACUGUAGUAUGAGUUCAAUGUCAAGUUCACGGUCCAGCUCCUCAAUUUCUUUGUUGUCAUCUAUUAUUGCCCGCUUUGGGUCAGACUUCAGCAGAGAAGCAUAUAGAGAGAUAUAUCUCUUACGUAAACUUGCAUAUCUUAGUACCUGCUCCCAGGAUAACUUCCCACUGCCACAAAUAUCAUUUCCUUAGCAACAGAAGCAAAUCAAAACCUAAAACAAGUUAUGUGGGGAAAAAAUAAAAUACAAGUACUACAAUCCCAGAACCAAUUGCAACCACCCAACCUAAAACAGAAAGUAAUAAGCCAUUGCCAAAAAUUAUCUUGAGAAAUAAAGACAAAUAGCAUUUUCUUUUUUCUUUUAUUUUUCUUUUGUGGCUUCAGCAACUUCCAUUCACACUGAAGCAGAUUGUUCAUAAACAAAGCAUCAUAAACAUUCAGGGAUUACACUUAUUUAUGCAGGGAAUAACAUUCAGGGAAUAUGAAUGGAUUUAUACUCCCUGUUUUGAGUAACAUUUCAAAGAUCAUGUACCGGAUCUGAGCACUUUUGCAUUUCAGUUUACCUCUAUAAGAAAUGGACUAGUCUAACUCAACCUUAAAAGCUAGUUCAAGCAGGAAGGAUUGCCCAAGUCUUUAUAUUUAUCUCAAUUUAUUUAUCCCAAACUGAUGUUGAACAACACAUCCCCUCAUGUCUAGACAUGAACAUUUAAAGUGUGAAGUUUACAAGAACGAACAUCUGCAAGUGGUCUAACAACAAAUCAAGAGUAGACAUUAAUAUCAUGUAGAGAAAUUAAUUUAGUGAGCCUAACCCAAUCCCAAAAACUAGUCAAAGGGAAGACUGCCCAAGUCUUUAUAUUUAGCACAAUUUCCUUAUCCCAAACCUAUUGGGAACAACAACCUCCAUGCGCUUUAAAUAAAUUUUUUAUUUUUGUCAAAAACAUGAAUGCAUGUUGUUAUAGGUUAUAGGAAGUAAAUUUUGAUAGAUAUAUCAGUUGUUUAAUCUUAGGGAGUGUAUGAUCAUAGACUUGAUUUUCCUUUUUGUUUAGUUACUGACUCUCAUGUAUAAAUAAGUUAAAAAUUUUGUAAUAUUGUAAUAUACAACAACAACAAAUAUUAUCUUUCUACAUGAUAUCAGAGCUUCACCCAUAAAGAUUUAAAAAUUUUUUGGAGACUUAGGACUCUAUUCAUUUGGGUUACCCAUAUAGAGUAACAUUUGGAUCUCACAGCCCCCCUGGGAAGGACGCCGAAGCGCCGGCGAAGCUUCCCUAAAGAGCCGACGGGCGUUCGGCUAGCGAGUGGGCCUCACGCGCCGGCGUGUGAAGGCGCAUCCCUGCUCCGUCGCUGCUCCGGUCACCAUUGACAGAGUCGCCACAACGUCCCCUUGUCAGACAUAGUUUGGCAGGUCCAAUGAGGUAGUCCAACAGUAUGGAAUGAAGACGAGUAAGUGUGAUCACUCAAUGUUUUAUAGAAAUUCUGAUAGUGGAGUAAUUCUGCUUGUAGUAUAUGUGGAUGAUAUCGUUAUCACAGGAAGUGACGUUGCUAGUAUCACAUCCCUAAAAGAAUUUCUUAAAACACAGUUUCAUACAAAGGAUUUGGGCUCCUUGAAAUAUUUCUUGAGAAUCGAAGUUAUGCGGUAUAAGAAAGGCAUCUUCUUAUCUUAAAGAAAAUAUGUCCUUGAUUUAUUGGCAGAAACAGGAAAAUUGGGUGCUAAGCCUUGUAGUGCUCCAAUGUCCCCUAACCUUCAACUUACCACAAAAGACAUUGAGUCAUUUGCAAAUCCUGAAAGGUACAGAAAAUUAGUUGGCAAGCUGAAUUCUUUGUUACCUUAAAGGGCCCCAGGGUAAGGUCUAUUCUAUAGUAACCAUGGGCACUCAAAUAUUAAAUGUUUUUCUGAUGCUAAUUAGGCAGGUUCGAAGGUUGAUAGGAAGUCAACUACUGGAUAUUGUAUUUUUGUGGGAGGUAACCUGGUCUCAUGGAAAAGUAAGAAGUAAAAUGUGGUCUCCCGUUCUAGUGCCGAAUCCGAAUAUCGAGCCAUGGCACAAGCCGUUUGUGAAGUCUUGUGAGUACGUCAACUAUUGGAAGAAGUUGGCUUCACAAAUUCGGUGCCUGCUAAGUUGUGGUGUGAUAAUCAAGCAACUAUCCACAUUGCCUCCAAUCCAGUAUUUCAUGAUAGGACUAAACACAUUGAGAUUGAUUGUCAUUUUGUUCGUGAGAAGGUCCAACAAAAGAUAAUAUCAACAGGAUAUAUCCAAAUUGGAGAAACAACUAGAAAAUAUCUUCACUAAAGCUCUAAAUGGGACUUGAGUAGAUUAUAUAUGUAAUAAGUUGGGCAUAAUUAACAUCUAUACUCCAACUUGAGGGAGAGUGUUAUAGGUUAUAGGAAGUAAAUAUUGAUAGAUGUGUCAGUUGCUUAAUCUUAGAGAUUGUAUGAUCAUAGACUUGAUUUUCCUUCCUGUUUAGAUACAGUCUUUCAUGUAUAAAUAGGUUGUAAUCUCUAUUGUAAUAUACAACAACAAAUAUUAUCUUUCUAUACAUGUUAACCAAACAGUCCAAAACUGAGCAAAUAAAACACAGCAAACUGAGUGACAAAACUCAUACACACAGAGUCAGACACAUCUCUAAAUAAUACUGAUGAACACAUUGAGUCAUGGACACAAGUCUCCGGACAAAUAUCAGCAUACACAUCUAACUGCAACUAAAUCAAGACAAAGAUAAGGUAGCUGCGCCUUAAAUAAAUUUUGUGCGAAGAAGAAUAUAAUUGAGAAGCACUUUUUUUUUGUUGCAAUAUCCAAAGCUUAUACAUAUACCACCAAUAAGCGAACCUGAUAAUUCAUGUCAACUGUCAAGUGAUUUCUAGGAUAUCUUCCUUGCAACCAGGGGUGACCAGUAUUCAGUUCAAACCGAAAAAAUCGACCGAACCGAAUUAAUUUGAAAAUUCAGUUCGGUUUUUUAUUUAUUUCGGUUUAGUUUAAUUUUUAAUUUUAAAAUUUUCGAUUAUUUCAGUUCGGUUCGGUUUUGAUCUGAAAAAAUUGAAAAAACCAAACCGAACCGAUUAGUGAUAAUAAUAUAUUAUUUUCAAUAAUUUAGAGAGAUUAGAUCAUAUUAAGGUUAAAAUAGUUCAAUUAAAUUUUAAAAUACUAAAAAUAAAGUAUAAAAAAUAAAAAAUUUAUUAAAAAUUUAAACCUAUCAAACCCAACCGAAUCGAACCGGUUCGGUUCGAUUCGGUUUCUGACCAAAAUCGAUUCGGUUUUUAUAAAUAUUAAAAUUUUGGUUUUUGAUUUAUUCGGUUCGGAUCGGUUUUGAACCGAACCGACCGAAUGCUCACCCCUACACCAUCCACCCACAAAAAAUAAGAAGAGAACAGGUCAACACAAUUAUUUUCUCCAAGCCAUGGCUUCUGUUUCUUUAGUAUCAUCCAAACUCCAAAGCUUAUCCAAAAACAGGCACAUAAAGGCAAACUCCAUAACUCACCCCAGUGAUUUCUAGGGCAUCAACCUCCAGUACCAUUCACCCACCACAAAUAAGAAGAAAACAAUCCAACACCAUUUUUUUAUAACCAAAAUCAUCAUCUGUGAGUACUAUGAAUAAGCUUAAGUUUAACUUUUUAAUUUCAUUGCCAUGCAACGGGAUGCAAUAAGGGCUUGGUGUCAUUAUGUUAAUAAAGAGUGGGUCGGAGGAAUUUUAACGAGGUCCACCACAUAAACUAGACUUCCUAGUAUCAUAUUUAUUCAGAUAUAAAAAGUUAUAAGAAUGUAUGAUAAAGCUUUUAUCUUAUCAUUAGCAACGCAUCAAAAACCAGCGUCAAAAAAUUGCAUGAUACUUUCAAAUAUCAUGUUACUAAGUAGAAGGCUAAAGAAUAGUUCAUCGCAUAACCCAAUUUAUGUUGUUAGUUAAUCAUUUUCUCAAAAAACCUCACUUUAAACCUACUCUGCAAUACUGAGCAAAAGAUAGGAUUAAUAAUUUAGGAGGUUAAUGUGGUCUAAAAACAAAAGCUCCUAAUCUGAUGCCAUGUUAAACAAUCACCUAAAUCCAAACGUAUAAGUUGCCAAAUUGCAGGAACAUUACUUAUUAUUCAUGAUAUUCAUACACACUGCAUAUAACAAUUUUCCAUAUCACUUUCAUCCAUAAAAAUACUCCAGUGAUUUUUUAACCGCAUGCACAUGAUGAAACUUGUACUAUAGAACAAAACAACUCAUGCUUUGCUCUCAAACAAGUAGGAAGAGAAGAUUUCCACCAUCUGACAUCAUAUGCAAAACCUCAGUGACUAUCCCAAGAAAGGUCACCUAAAUUUGUCACAUAUCUAUACCUAUUUUCGCAGUGUCAAAGCAAGAAUCAAAAUCUUCAUAUUGUGAAUCUGGAAUCAAAACUGAAUCAUAAGAUUCUAUAAAAGUUCUCAAAAGUAAUUAAAAUAAUUUAUAUUCUAAAAAAUAAUUAAAAAAUCAUAACAACAUGUUUUGAUAAAUGUAAAAAUAUCAAUACGCUAAUUAGACUAUGUUUUAUAAUAGAACAGUAUAUUCUUGUCAUGUUAAAUGGCUUUAUUGUUAUACAUUAUGAAAUUUUGGAUUGUAGAUGUUGAUUAUCAUUUUACAUAUGCAGAAACUCCCACUUAACUAUGAUCAAAUAAUUAAAUAAUAACAGAAAAAGAAUAGCAGGACACAUUAAACCACCAGCAAAUAUUAAUAAAAAUAUCAAAAUUUGACAAAUAUAACUAACAAAGAAAAUUCACAAAAAAAAGGAAAAAAAAAAGGGGGAUAGAGAAAAGAUUCGCACCAAUGGAAGAAAAAUAGCCAAGGGAAAGUUUAUAUUCACUUUUAAUAGCAAAAAAGAAACGAAAUACUAAAAUUAUAAAGCUAUAAAGUCCAACAAUCUUCUAGAGAAGAACUGACAGAAUCAGGUGAAGAAUCAACCUCACCUAUUAACUAUCAAUUUUUUUGAUUUAGUCACAAUUCAGGAACAUUUUUUAUUUACUCUAGAUCCAAAUCACUAGAAUGGGGAAUCAAAUCAACAACCAUACAAUUUGACUCAAAAAUCGUAAGAUUCAGGCAUAUUUAAGAUUUCCCCCACAAAUUUGAAUUGCUACGGUGAAGAAUUGAAUCAGAAGACUGUAACUAAUAAUAGUGCCUAUGUCUGCUGCAAUAACUUCUAGUGAUUUCAAUAUUUUUAUUCAGAAAGAAAAGAAUUACUAUUUCAAUACCUUGCCUUCUUCAAUUGGUCAGAGACAACUCUGUAUGCAUAAUUCCACCACAACCGUGUAUUAUAUUUUACUGGCACCAAAGGACGAUAAUGAGCAUAUUUUAAGCGUUGAUUAAAUGCAGCAAAAUUGUCAGCUAAUUUUAAAAUAUCCCUGUAUCCAUCCUGCAAAACAAAGAGAUAACUUAAUGAAAAACCUCAUGAUCCUACUGCUCUCAGAGCAAAAGCAAACAUGAUGCAGAAGACCAGUGAAGACCUUUGACAAACAGAGUGUCACAUCAUCCAAGUUCACUUCUGCUUUCUGGAGAGGCUGGCCUCCAUUAACAGAUUCAUUCGACCUCAACUUUGAGUACUUAGCAUUUCCAGUCACUGGUUGCAGAAUGUAUGAGUGCUUUUUCAUUAUAGAAUCUGACGGUUUACCAUCUUUUGUACCAAACCUAAAAACCUGAAGUUCCAUGGAAACUUGAAAAUAAAUAUCAUUUACGGAGCCAAGAUAAACAUAAAGCAAAACCAAAUAGUUCCUAAAACUAAUGUAACAAAAAUACUGAAAAUAUGAUACCUGAACCCACUCAGAAGGACGCAAGUUCUCCCAUGGUUUGCUAAUAUACCAUGGUGAUAUAUCAGAAUCCAGAUAAAUAGCAAGUUGAUCAAGUUCAACAGACUGAAAAAGAGCAGAACACAGAAAAUUACCCAAAACAGUGGUAACACACAAUCCAACACUGAAAUCAUUAAUCCAGUGUAAGGGGACAGUGACAAAGAAAACCUUGAUGCUAUUUCCAGGACAAGAUUCAUCCCACAAGCAAGCACAGAUCCUCUAAAGUUUAAAGUAUUAAGAACACUGAACACAGUAAGUUGCAAUCGCUAUCAGCCCUCAUCUAAACAUUUUGCAACAUGAAGAAUUUUAGAGUAUUUUUGUAUUUUCCUCUUAAUCUUUACAAGUGAUUUAUAUGACUAUUUACAUACAAAGAAUUAUGACUAAAAAAAAAAAAGCAAAUAAUUAAAUAAUUACAAAAAUAAUUAAGGAUCUUAAUUUAGGCCUAGAAUCAAUAAUCAAAUUAAAUUAUAUCAGUAGAAAUCAGCAAAUAAGUCAACACUCCUCCUCAAGUUGGUGAACAGAAUCAAAUUAUAAUAGGUUCUAUUAUUGAGCCAUUUAGUAAAUACAUCCGCAAACUGCUCAAGACACAGUCUAUUAUUUUUUCUUCAAUGAAGUGUUGAUCGAUCACAAUGUUCUUCAUUCGGUGAUAUUGAACUGGAUUUUGUUCUAUACUUAUGGCAGCUUUGUUGUCACAAUACAAAAUUAUCUUGUCUCUCUCGAGUAAUCUCAGCUCUUCCAAUAACUUUUGCAACAACAAAAGUUUACACACGCCUUGAGCCACUACUAUGCAUUCUGCUUCACCACUUUACCGAGCAACACUUCUUUAUUUUUUGGCCCUCCAGCUGACAAAAUUCCCUUCCACAACCGUGCAGUAUGCAGAGAUUGAUCUCCUAUCAUUGAGAGAUCUACACAAUCUACAUCUGUAAAAGUUUCAACUCAGAGAUGAUCAUGGUUGGCGUAAAGAAGUCAUUUUCCUGAUGCAGACUUUAGAUACUUCAAGAUGCGAAAGACAGCCUGCAUAUGAGUCUCAGGGUCAAGCAUGAAUUGGCUGGCUGACUAAGCUAACAGCAUAGACUAUAUUCGGUCGAGUGUGUGAGAGAUAAAUCAACCUCCCUGUCAAUCUUUGGUAUCUUCCAAUAUCCACAGACUCACUUGUAUCUUGUGAUUACUUUCAAUGAGAAAUUCUAUUUGUUUACACCCCAACACAACAAUUUCUUCCAAAAGAUUUAGAAUGAACUUUUUGGGGAGAUAAAAGAUCUCUUUUUCUGAUCUAGUCACCUCAAUACCUAAAAAAUAUUGAAACUUUCCCAUAUUUUUUAUUUUAAAUUCUUGAGCCAACAACCUUUUUAGUUGAGUCAUUUCCUCUUUAUCAUCACCUGUCACCACUAUAUCAUCAACAUACACUAUAAGAAGAGUGGUCUUAUACACAGAGUAUGAUCAACAUUGCUCUGUUGGUAACCAAAGGACAUCAUGGCUCUACUAAACCUAUCAAACCAAGCUCUGGGAGAUUUUUAUAGCCCAUAUAAAGCCUUUUUUAAUUUGCACAUCUUUCCUUGUGUCUUCUCAUCAGCAAAACCAGGAAGGAUCUCCAUGAACACCUUUUCAUCUAAAUCUCUAUAAGGGCCGCAUCUCCUCAAUAUGCUUUGGGUAGGUUCAUGGUAAACAAAAGAGAUCGAGCUACCUCCAAUAGAUACUUAUUUUUCCUUUCAGCAACCACAUUUUGUGCAUUAGUAUAAGACCAACUUGUCUAGUGUACUAUCCCAUUGACUCUUUAUAAGCAGAAAACCUACUAUCCAUAUAUUCUCUUCCAUUGUCAGUUCUCAAAAUUUUCACCUUAGUAUCAAAUUGAGUACAAAUCAUCUUGUGAAAAGAUUGAAAAUAAGAAAAAACAACACUUUUAACUUUAAUCAAAUACACCUAAAUCAUUCGAGUGCAACAAUCAAUAAAAGUGACAAACCAUUGAUUACCAGAUAAGGAGACAGUUUGAGUAGGCCUCCAAAUAUCAGAAUGAAUAGUCACAAAAAGAAUUUGACUUUUAUUAUCACUCAACGGAUAGGAGGUUCUAUUGUGCUUAGCAUACUCACAAGCAUCAUAAAAUAAAGAACCAAAUUGAGUUCUAGCAAACAAACUAGGAUAAAGUUUUUCUAAGAUAAAAAACAAUGAACGCCCUUACCGUCUGUGCUAUAUGUCUAUUCGCACCAGAAUCAAUAAUCCAUGAGCCAGUAUCAAGAGAGAAAGCAUUACCUAACUUCACAAAAUUAUAUGUGGCACCAAAAGCGGAAGAGGUGUCAAUAUGAGACAGGAGGCGCUUGAAAUUGUAAAUUUCAGCUGUUGUUCUCUUUAAAGGGCUCCUCCACAGUUUCUAAUAAAUUAGUGUGAACUCUAGAGGUACCUCGUUUCCCCCCAUAGCCCCUAGUAGGAUGACCAUAUAACUUUCAACAAGUCUCCUUAGCAUGCCUCGGUUUCCCAUAAUAGUCACGAUGCAAGUGAACUUUCUCAAAAUUAGGAGGCUGCAGUGUGCUCAAACUUGUAGCCAACCCAGCCACUUCAACUGGUACAGUAUAAAGCAUCGCAUGCCGGUGUUUGGGUCAGGCCUAACUCACCCCAAAAGCUAGCUCAAGAGGGAGGAGUGCCUAUAGCCCAUAUAAGGGGCACAUUACCCCUUUCCACAAUCGAUGUGGGAUUCAACACACCCCCACGCCCAGAAUUUUUACUGGUGCGUGGCACAUUUAUGGGGCACCCAACAUCGGAUGGAGAGGCUCUGAUACCAUGUUAAAUUUGGGUCAGGCCUAACUCACCCCAAAAGCUAGCUCAAGAGGGAGGAGUGCGUAUAGCCCAUAUAAGGGGCACAUUACCCCUUUCCACAAUCGAUGUGGGAUUCAACACCAGCCAUUUCAACUGGUACAGUAUAAAGCAUAGCAUGCCGGUGACUUUCCUCUUGUUGAAGAUAGACAUGGGCCUCUUCUAGUGAAUAAAAAGGGUUUUUACCUAACACUUGGACUCGAAUUGGAUCAUAUUCAUUAUUCAACUUUACAAAACAAUUAUAGACGCGCUCCUUUUUAAUCAUUUUUCGAAAAUCACUACAUCUCCAGUACACUCUGCCUGAAAGUGCAGAUAGUAAUCAAGCUCCUGCCAUCAACCACAUAACUCAGAAUAAAAUUGGGAGACAGUCAUUUUUCUUUGCUUAAUACUAUUGAUCAUAUUUCGAAUAUUAUAAAUUUAGUCAUCAUUCUCAAUCUUGGAAUAAGUCAAGAACAAAGCCUUCCAUAUCUUUGCAACAGUAUCAAGUAAUAGGACUUAUAGAUAUGAGAUUGCAUAGAGUUAAGUAAUCAAGUCAUAACAAGACAAUUAUCUGAGUCCCAUUGAGGAAAAUCUGGAUCAAUCUUAUCCGGUUGCUUCUUAUUACUAGUGACAUAGCUCUGCAAUCCUCUAGCCUUGAAAAACAACAAACAAGACCUUGACCAAGCAAGAUAAUUGGUUCCAUCAAGUUUUGCAGGACUAAUUUGCAAGGAAGGGCUAUCAGAGUUAGGAAUCAAGACCUUUUUACCUUCUGCCAUGAUAAAAAUGAACUGUGAAAGAAUAAAAGGUACCCAAGAUCGUACACAUAAGAGAGUCUUAACCAAAUCACCAAGAGACCAGGUAGCGGCAUGGGAUGGCCAAAAAGAGGUCGGAAAUGGCAGCCCGAGUGGACUGGGCAGGAAAGUAGUGUAAGACAGAAGCUCAUGCGCAAGGAAGGAAAGGCGCAUGAUCCUCACACACAUGGAGUUGCGGCAUCGAAGUUAGGCAGCUGGCCAGCGACAGUCCGAUGACUCUGCUGGUGGCAGCAAUGAGAUGAAAAAAAGUCCCUAGAUAAGGCAGUACCAAAUAGGUAGAUCUAGAGUUUAGAAAUUCUAAAAAGAAAAAAUUAAAUUUAAACCCUAAAAUAAGGAAAAGGCUCUAAUACCAUGAAGAAUUUUAAAGAAUUUUAAAGUAUUUUUGUUUUUCACUCUUAAUUUUUACAAGUGAUUAUAUGACUAUUUAUACACAAAGAAUUAAGACUAAAAAGAAAGCAAAUAAUCAAAUAACUACAAAAAUAAUUAAGGAUCCUAAUUUAUU